Molecule: long non-coding RNA, 340 nt
Organism: Mesocricetus auratus (golden hamster)
Lineage: Eukaryota; Metazoa; Chordata; Mammalia; Rodentia; Cricetidae
Exons: 3
Source: RefSeq, a predicted model, not a curated record
GGUUUACUCCGUCACCAAAACUGCUCUGUCAGCAGAGGACCUGGAGUGCCGAGGAUAGAGCACCAAGUCAGCUUGGGACAGACAUGAACACAUAUGCACCAAGUAGUCUUGAUAGCUACACUAAGCAUGAGCCUUGAAGCCUCAAGAGCAUGGAGCAUUUAUGUUCUACAAGUCAACUUGUGUCAGAUAUUAUCAAAGCAAUCAGCUGAAGAAUGAAUAAGGAGGGAUGAUGCUGUAGUGUGAACCUUGACUGUACCUCAAGGGCUUAUCUGCUAAAGUUUAGUCCAGGAUGGCAGUGUUUCGGGGAACUGGAAACAUCAGAACUCCUUAAUGAGGUAAG